Molecule: ribosomal RNA, 241 nt
Filed under: uncultured bacterium
Lineage: Bacteria
Description: partial 16S ribosomal RNA
Rfam family: Bacterial small subunit ribosomal RNA
Source: RNAcentral
GACCGGCGCACGGGUGCGUAACGCGUAUGCAACCUACCUUUAACAGGGGGAGUAACACUGAGAAAUUGGUACUAAUACCCCAUAAUAUCAUAGAAGGCAUCUUUUAUGGUUGAAAAUUCCGAUGGUUAGAGAUGGGCAUGCGUUGUAUUAGCUAGUUGGUGGGGUAACGGCUCACCAAGGCGACGAUACAUAGGGGGACUGAGAGGUUAACCCCCCACACUGGUACUGAGACACGGACCAG